CUACGGGGCGCUCCAGUGGGGAAUAUUGGGCAAUGGGCGCAAGCCUGACCCAGCAACGCCGCGUGAGGGAAGAAGGUUUUCGGAUUGUAAACCUCUGUCCUUGGGGACGAAGAAGUGACGGUACCCAAGGAGGAAGCUCCGGCUAACUACGUGCCAGCAGCCGCGGUAAUACGUAGGGAGCAAGCGUUGUCCGGAAUUACUGGGCGUAAAGGGUGCGUAGGCGGCAUAUUAAGUCAGGUGUGAAAUACUCGGGCUCAACCCGGGGGCUGCAUUUGAAACUGAUAUGCUUGAGUGUGAGAGAGGAAAGUGGAAUUCCUAGUGUAGCGGUGGAAUGCGUAGAUAUUAGGAGGAACACCAGUGGCGAAGGCGACUUUCUGGCUCAUAACUGACGCUGAGGCACGAAAGCGUCGGGAGCAAACAGGAUUAGAUACCCUCGUAGUC
This 441-nucleotide ribosomal RNA is filed under the name uncultured bacterium. RNAcentral describes it as "partial 16S ribosomal RNA". It matches the Rfam family "Bacterial small subunit ribosomal RNA", at positions 339 to 795 of the family's 1533-position model. The record is from RNAcentral.